UACGUAGGGUGCAAGCGUUGUCCGGAAUUAUUGGGCGUAAAGAGCUCGUAGGCGGUUUGUCGCGUCGAAUGUGAAAUCCCGGGGCUCAACCCCGGGUCUGCAUUCGAUACGGGCAGACUAGAGUUCGGCAGGGGAGUCUGGAAUUCCUGGUGUAGCGGUGAAAUGCGCAGAUAUCAGGAGGAACACCGGUGGCGAAGGCGGGACUCUGGGCCGAUACUGACGCUGAGGAGCGAAAGCGUGGGGAGCAAACAGG
This 253-nucleotide ribosomal RNA is filed under the name uncultured bacterium. Its description in RNAcentral is "partial 16S ribosomal RNA". It matches the Rfam family "Bacterial small subunit ribosomal RNA", at positions 524 to 776 of the family's 1533-position model. The record is from RNAcentral.